GUACCAACUUCAGCAGCACAUAUACUAAAUUUGGAAGGAUUAAAAAAUGAGCAUGGCCCCUGCACAAGGAUGACACACAAAUUCAUGAAGCAUUCCAUAUUUUU
Molecule: small nuclear RNA, 104 nt
Organism: Mastomys coucha (southern multimammate mouse)
Lineage: Eukaryota; Metazoa; Chordata; Mammalia; Rodentia; Muridae
Source: RefSeq, a predicted model, not a curated record